ACUCCUGACCUGGUAAGCUGUAGCGAGCGCCAGUAUCUAGCCUUGGAGCCGAAGUCGUAAGAUUAGGUUUAAGCGUAGGCAAGAAAGUUUUAGAACCCAAAGCGAAAGUUGAAUCCAAUUUAGCCUCGAAAAUAUAUAUAGUUGCAGUGGGUGAUACUCUCAUAGAAGUCGCAGCCAAUAACACGUUUCUUAAAGCUAGGAAAUUAUGUCACUGCCGUGGUUUG
RNAcentral lists this non-coding RNA (224 nucleotides) under uncultured Bulleidia sp. The record is from RNAcentral. Lineage: Bacteria; Bacillati; Bacillota; Erysipelotrichia; Erysipelotrichales; Erysipelotrichaceae.